AGAGUUUGAUCAUGGCUCAGGACGAACGCUGGCGGCGUGCUUAACACAUGCAAGUCGAGCGGAAAGGCCCUUCGGGGUACUCGAGCGGCGAACGGGUGAGUAACACGUGAGGAACCUGCCCUGGACUUUGGGAUAACCCUCGGAAACGGGGGCUAAUACCGAAUACGACACUUCACCGCAUGGUGUGGGUGUGGAAAGUUUUUCGGUCUGGGAUGGUCUCGCGGCCUAUCAGCUUGUUGGUGGGGUAAUGGCCUACCAAGGCGACGACGGGUAGCCGGCCUGAGAGGGCGACCGGCCACACUGGGACUGAGACACGGCCCAGACUCCUACGGGAGGCAGCAGUGGGGAAUAUUGCACAAUGGGCGGAAGCCUGAUGCAGCGACGCCGCGUGAGGGAUGACGGCCUUCGGGUUGUAAACCUCUUUCAGCAGGGACGAAGCGCAAGUGACGGUACCUGCAGAAGAAGCGCCGGCCAACUACGUGCCAGCAGCCGCGGUAAGACGUAGGGCGCGAGCGUUGUCCGGAUUUAUUGGGCGUAAAGAGCUCGUAGGCGGCUUGUCGCGUCGACUGUGAAAACCCGCGGCUCAACUGCGGGCCUGCAGCCGAUACGGGCAGGCUAGAGUUCGGUAGGGGAGACUGGAAUUCCUGGUGUAGCGGUGAAAUGCGCAGAUAUCAGGAGGAACACCGGUGGCGAAGGCGGGUCUCUGGGCCGAUACUGACGCUGAGGAGCGAAAGCGUGGGGAGCGAACAGGAUUAGAUACCCUAGUAGUCC
RNAcentral lists this ribosomal RNA (771 nucleotides) under uncultured bacterium. Its description in RNAcentral is "bacterial SSU rRNA". It matches the Rfam family "Bacterial small subunit ribosomal RNA", at positions 8 to 796 of the family's 1533-position model. The record is from RNAcentral.